Molecule: ribosomal RNA, 492 nt
Filed under: uncultured bacterium
Lineage: Bacteria
Description: partial 16S ribosomal RNA
Rfam family: Bacterial small subunit ribosomal RNA
Source: RNAcentral
AGUGAACGCUGGCGGUAGGCCUAACACAUGCAAGUCGAACGGCAGCACAGUAAGAGCUUGCUCUUACGGGUGGCGAGUGGCGGACGGGUGAGGAAUACAUCGGAAUCUACUUUUUCGUGGGGGAUAACGUAGGGAAACUUACGCUAAUACAGCAUACGACCUACGGGGGAAAGCAGGGGAUCUUCGGACCUUGUGCGAUUGAAUGGGCCGAUGUCGGUUUAGCAAGCCUGCGGGGGAAAGGCCCACCAUGCCGACGAUACGUAGCUGGUCUGAGAAGAGGAUCAGCCACACUCGAACUGAGACACGGUCCAGACUCCUAAGAGAGGCAGCAGUGAGGAAUAUUGGACAAUGGGCGAAAGCCUGAUCCAGCCAUACCGCGUGGGUGAAGAAGGCCUUCAGGUUGUAAAGCCCUUUUGUUGGGAAAGAAAAGCAGCAGGUUAAUACCCCGCUGUUCUGACGGUACCCAAAGAAUAAGCACCGGCUAACUUCGUG